AUGAACGCUGGCGGCGUGCCUAAUACCUGCAAGUCGAGCGAACAGACGAGGAGCUUGCUCCUCUGACGUUAGCGGCGGACGGGUGAGUAACACGUGGAUAACCUACCUAUAAGACUGGGAUAACCUCGGGAAACCGGAGCUAAUACCGGAUAAUAUAUUGAACCGCAUGGUUCAAUAGUGAAAGACGGUUUUGCUGUCACUUAUAGAUGGAUCCGCGCCGCAUUAGCUAGUUGGUAAGGUAACGGCUUACCAAGGCAACGAUGCGUAGCCGACCUGAGAGGGUGAUCGGCCACACUGGAACUGAGACACGGUCCAGACUCCUACGGGAGGCAGCAGUAGGGAAUCUUCCGCAAAGGGCGAAAGCCUGACGGAGCAACGCCGCGUGAGUGAUGAAGGUCUUCGGAUCGUAAAACUCUGUUAUUAGGGAAGAACAAAUGUGUAAGUAACUAUGCACGUCUUGACGGUACCUAAUCAGAAAGCCACGGCUAACUACGUG
Molecule: ribosomal RNA, 496 nt
Filed under: uncultured bacterium
Lineage: Bacteria
Description: partial 16S ribosomal RNA
Rfam family: Bacterial small subunit ribosomal RNA
Source: RNAcentral